CUUGAUCGAGCCCAGCCACAGCGGCUGCUCGUCGCCGUGCUCCUGGCCGUAGGUAGCGAGGAGCGCCUGCGCCUC
The sequence is a non-coding RNA, 75 nucleotides long. It matches the Rfam family "ASpks TB sRNA". The record is from Rfam.